Molecule: transfer RNA, 66 nt
Filed under: uncultured Treponema sp.
Lineage: Bacteria; Pseudomonadati; Spirochaetota; Spirochaetia; Treponematales; Treponemataceae
Rfam family: tRNA
About the family: Transfer RNA (tRNA) molecules are approximately 80 nucleotides in length. Their secondary structure includes four short double-helical elements and three loops (D, anti-codon, and T loops).
Source: RNAcentral
GCAAUAGCGCAGCUGGUAGCGCGUCUGGUUUGGGACCAGGAUGUCGGGGGUUCAAAUCCCUCUUGC